AAGUUGCAGGGUAUAGACCCGAAACCCGGUGAUCUAGCCAUGGGCAGGUUGAAGGUUGGGUAACACUAACUGGAGGACCGAACCGACUAAUGUUGAAAAAUUAGCGGAUGACUUGUGGCUGGGGGUGAAAGGCCAAUCAAACCGGGAGAUAGCUGGUUCUCCCCGAAAGCUAUUUAGGUAGCGCCUCGUGAAUUCAUCUUCGGGGGUAGAGCACUGUUUCGGCUAGGGGGGUCAUCCCGACUUACCAACCGAUGCAAACUACGAAUACCGAAGAAUGUUAUCACGGGAGACACACGGCGGGUGCUAACGUCCGUCGUGAAGAGGGAAACAACCCAGACCGCCAGCUAAGGUCCCA
Molecule: ribosomal RNA, 355 nt
Filed under: Klebsiella pneumoniae
Lineage: Bacteria; Pseudomonadati; Pseudomonadota; Gammaproteobacteria; Enterobacterales; Enterobacteriaceae
Description: bacterial LSU rRNA
Rfam family: Bacterial large subunit ribosomal RNA
Source: RNAcentral